This 353-nucleotide long non-coding RNA is filed under the name Homo sapiens (human). RNAcentral's name for it is "non-protein coding lnc-SEC16B-6:1". Lineage: Eukaryota; Metazoa; Chordata; Mammalia; Primates; Hominidae. The record is from RNAcentral.
UCUGAAUUUUGGAACAAAGGAAUAUAUUACCUAUUUUUUAAAAUAAAUAACAUAUUUAAAAAAAUGUGUUAAUGUUUUCAAUAACAUGAGAAAAUACACUUAAGAGAAAAAAAGUAGAAUGUAAAAUAUAUAUAUAUUUCACAAAUCAACCCCUAGGAAUGGACUACAAAACAACAUACAUUUGUAGACUUUUAUGUCCUUACAAAUGAAGAACGAUAGUUAACACUAGGUCCAGAGAACCCAGAUUGUUUUGGAUACUGAAAUACCGAAUUAUCAUAUACAUGUAUUCUUAGAAUAGCAUGGCCCUAUUUCUAACAUCACACAAAUAAACAGUAUGCCAAAGAAGUGUGUAA